GGGGGAUGGGAAGCAGGCAGAAAGCAGUAAAACCAGCUCUGAGCUAUGCAUGCAAGGGCCUCUCGCAAGCCUCAAAUUCUGUAACUGACAAAUCAUUCUAAAUUUUGCCUGGGAAAAUAA
Octodon degus (degu) is the source of this 120-nucleotide long non-coding RNA. RefSeq lists it as uncharacterized. The transcript is spliced from 2 exons. The record is from RefSeq and is a predicted model, not a curated record. NCBI's taxonomy places the organism in Eukaryota, Metazoa, Chordata, Mammalia, Rodentia, Octodontidae.